RNAcentral lists this unclassified non-coding RNA (30 nucleotides) under Dictyostelium discoideum. Lineage: Eukaryota; Evosea; Eumycetozoa; Dictyosteliales; Dictyosteliaceae. The record is from RNAcentral.
AGAUCCAAACCGACAAUACUCUGUAGGCAC